UUGGUUUUGUAUGAGUUCUUGAGUUUGUUUAGGAGUGUCGGGCUUCUUUGGUAAAUAUUAUUGAGAUAUUCCUCUUUCAGUAAUGCGAGGAGUGUCUUUUGUAUUGAUCUAAUCACAAAUCAAAUAUGGCUAAGGACACAAGAAGUCGGUCUGAAAUUCGAAAGGAAUUAGAAAGCCGUUUCAAUUCUGAUGAAUUUGCUAACGUGGCUAAUGAUGCGAUAAGUAAAGAAAUAAAUCGCUUUUUUGGAUCAACAGAUAUGAUGGUUUCGACUACAAAAUCAAUUGUGUCUGAAAUAUCUAGUACACUCGAAGUCUUCGUAAAGAAAGAGAUUGACAAAGCCGUCAAUCCCUUAAAUGAUCGAGUUGCUGUUUAUAAAGCCGUUUGGCUGAAGCGAAACUACAUGCCAACAAGAACGAAAAGUAGGCUACUCAAGGCGUUGCAACUUGAGAAUACACGGCAUUCCAGAGAAAGCUCGUGAAAAUUGUUAUGAUCUAGUCAUAGCCUUCUGCAACGAAGAAUUAAAGUGUGAUGUCGCUCUUAAUGAGAUUGAUCGGACACAUCGCGUUGGCAAAUUGAAACAAGAUUCUCAACUGCCUAGGCCAAUUAUUGUAAAAUUU
Paramuricea clavata is the source of this 618-nucleotide non-coding RNA. NCBI's taxonomy places the organism in Eukaryota, Metazoa, Cnidaria, Anthozoa, Malacalcyonacea, Plexauridae. The record is from the annotation of a GenBank genome assembly.